CCCAGGCAUCCAGCAGGAACGUGGCAGGGUUCCUGCAGGGAGCAGCAGUGCUGGGGGUUUGUGAGGGGAUUGUGUUGUGGGAAGGCUGGGGCUGAAGGUGUGGACUGUCUCCUGUAUUUCAGUUCAUUGUGCUUAAGAAUUAAUUAAAUUGUUAGGUGGAAUCCUCUCCUUAAAAUAUCAGGUGGAAUCUUCUCCUUAAAUUUGGUGGUAUCCUCUCCUUUAAUUAUUAGGUGGAAUCCUCUCAUUAAAUUAUCAAGUGAAAUCUUCUUAAAACAUUGUGUGGAAUCCUCUCCUUAAAUUGUCAAGUGGAAUCCUCUGCUGAAAUUAGGUGGAAUCCUCUGCUUAAAUUAAGUGGCAUCCUCUCCUUAAAUUAACUGGAAUCCUCUUGUUACAUUAUCGGGUGGAAUCCUCUCCUUAAAUUAUUAAGUGGAAUCCUCUCCUUAAAUUAUCAGGUGAAAUCUUCUUAAAACAUUGUGUGGAAUCUUCUCCCUAAAUUGUCAAGUGGAAUCCCCUCCUUAAAUUAAGUGGAAUCCCCUCCUUAAAUUAAGUGGAAUCCCCUCCUUAAAUUAAGUGGAAUCCCCUCCUUAAAUUAAGUGGAAUCCCCUCCUUAAAUUAAGUGGAAUCCCCUCCUUAAAUUAAGUGGAAUCCCCUCCUUAAAUUAAGUGGAAUCCCCUCCUUAAAUUUUCAAGUGGAAUCCUGUCCUUCCAUUAUUGAGUGCAAUCCUGUCCUUCCAUUAUUGAGUGCAAUCCUGUCCUUAAAUUACUACUUGAGUGGAAUUUUCUCUUUAAAAUAUUAGGUGGAAUCCUCUCCUUAAUUUAAGUGGAAUUCUCUCCUACCCUCCCUGUCCCCAGAUCUCAAAUUUCCUUCCUGUUAUCAAAUUUUCUGUGGAGGAAGAAUAAAAGAUAAGGGUCUGUUAAUUAAAGCAGAACCUCGUGUUCUUUGUGUUUGAAAGAGAUUUCAGAGCUUGUUCCCUGCAUUCCUCAAAGGGGAAAAUCAAAUGCUGAUCACUCCAAUUCCAAUUUGGGGAGUUUAUUGGUAGGAAAUCAGUUUAUUGGAGUGGAAAAUGAAAGGGUGAGCGUGGUGGUCCAACAAAAAGCACUUGCAGGAGUGUGGUGGGAUCAGAAAUACUUGGGAAUAAGUGGUGACAGCCACAAAGACCUUCCCCUGCCCCUUCCUGUUCAGGGAAUUCCCUGCACUGCAGUUCUGGGGGGUUUUACAGCAGUUUCCUGGUUUUGUGAUAAAGAGCUGAUGUUUUCUCCCUGUCCCUGCUGCUCCCUGCCCUGACCUCCGAGCAGCUGGGAUUUGUACCUUUUACUUUCUAUGCUAAUUAGUCCAUAUUUUUACUCUUUUUAAUAUCUUUUUCCCUGCUGGGGACUUUCCAACCCUUACUGAGUGGUUCCUACAAAAUGUCCUUGUGGUCCAUCCCACAAAUCCUGCCUUCCAUGUGCCCACCAAUCCAUCUUUGUCUCCCAGACUUUGUUCAAUGAAUCAAAUCCAGGUUUGCUCAACAAAACUUUUCCCAAGCUGUGUUCCCACAAACUGCUCAGGACAGCUUUGUCAUAAAUCCUGGCUAAGAGUGAUUUAAGAAUCACCAGAAUGAGUUUCAGGAGACCAUCCUGGAAAAGCUUCAAUCCCAGGAAUGUUCUUAAUGGGAAUUCAGGAGCCAGAGCUCCCCGGAGGCUCCGCCAGCCUCUGCUGUGAGAUUGGGUCAUCCCUCAGGACUUGUUGCAGCAUUAAAAAACCCCAAAUAAACCCACAACCCCUUCCCCAAACCCCAAAUUCUCUGCAAAACUUCAAUUCCAACCUUGUAGGUUUCAGUGUUUGCAGGCAUUGUGAACGCCUGGGAACAGGAAAAAUCCAUCUCCCGUUUCUUUCCUGGUGUAGUUCCCUGGCAGGAUCUGGAGCUGGGUGCCAGCACAAUUGGCUGCAGCCUGGAGCAUAUGUGCAGAAUCCAAAUAACAGCUUGGCUGCUUUUUAUAUCAAACCUAAUGGGCUCAGAUAUUAUUUUAUUAGAGCUCCUGCAAACAACGGUGUCGCUCCGUUGGCCCCAGCUCCGGGCUGGAAAUAAGGUCAGUGGGAAGCCCACUGGCUGCUCAAGAAUGAAAUGGGGAGUUUUCUGCCAAGGAGAUGAGGAUUGAGUGCAUUCAGAGGGUUGGUGUGUUCUGCUGGAGAUGGUGGCAUGGGGGAAAAUGGGGAUUUUCAGGUUUUGCCUCACCAAGAGCUGGAGCCAGGUGUGCUCAGGGAUGUGCUCCCUGCAGGACUGAGCUCUCUGCUCACAGACAAACCCAAAA
Molecule: long non-coding RNA, 2291 nt
Organism: Passer domesticus (house sparrow)
Lineage: Eukaryota; Metazoa; Chordata; Aves; Passeriformes; Passeridae
Exons: 2
Source: RefSeq, a predicted model, not a curated record